Molecule: long non-coding RNA, 944 nt
Organism: Aethalodelphis obliquidens (Pacific white-sided dolphin)
Lineage: Eukaryota; Metazoa; Chordata; Mammalia; Artiodactyla; Delphinidae
Exons: 9
Source: RefSeq, a predicted model, not a curated record
GGCCGAAGACGAGCCGGCGGUCAGGCCGUCCAGCACCUUCCUGAUGUUGAAUUUCCUCAUGGUCUCGGCGGGGUCCCCCGCAGCCCGGGAGGAGAGAGACUAGAGAAACCACAUGUUGAACCUGGAACAGCUACUAUCAGCCUGGGCCACUGAAUAAUUGCAUGAGGGAGAGCCACCCACCAGCCUGAAAUACCUGCUCUAGAAUUUCAUAUGAGAAACUGAGCCAGGAAGAAAUUACAUCUGUUGCCCAAGGUUACGUGGCUGGUGCAUGGGAGUGACCAUUCUGCUGACUCAGAGCAUCCCUCAAGUUCCACCCAUCUGGAAAAAAAUCAACUUGAAUGAUGGACAGACCAGCCAUUUCAGUGUAGCUCUAUUGCUUUCCCUUGGCAUGGUCCAGAUGGCCUUCAAUGAUGGAUGCUACCAUUGCUGGGGAAAUGUCACUGUUAGAGAAUAGAAAACUGUUAUUCCAAAGAGUACUGAAGACUGACUGAAUGAGGUCUGGAGCAUUAUUGAAAUGACACUUAUGGAUCGAAACAUGUGAAGACUUCAUCAAGUGUCUCAUAGUUUCAAGGACGGCUGGAUUUAAUCAUUUCCAGGGAUACAUCUAGAGGAAUUCCCAUAACCUCAGCGGACCCCAGAUCAGCUUGCCCACAGUGAGUGGGACGAAGCAAAUCGGAGCUGCUUAAACACAGAUGAGGUCAUUUUUUUCUCAUUAUGAGUCUCAUUACUCUUUGGAAAGCGCUUGAAGAUCACUGGUUUCACUACCCUCAGAGUGUCACCAGGCUGGUCAUCAAGGGGACCUGGGAACUCCUCUGCUGACCAAGUUCCAGCCCACAUCCACACAGAGUUGCUGUGAAAGAACCUUCUCUCCAUCUCAGAGCUGCAGGGCUCCAGGCGUCCCGUUGCGGUCUCCCAUUACCCGGACAGAGUCAGUGCCAGGGCAG